AUUGAUUUUAUUUAUUUUACAAAGCAGGUCAAUUAAGAAUAAAUGAUUAUUUACAAUGACAGCCAAAGGAAUCCUGUGACGCAGAGGGCGAGGUCUAAAAGUCUAGGACAAGACAGUCAACACAAUAAAUCUGAGAAGUCAUAAUUCCAUUUCAUAUUUUGGUUAGAAAGGCUUAAUAAACCCAUAAUAAACCCUUAGCCCAUACUGUAUGAUUCAGAAAUCAUGCCUUAGUAAAGGUCCCACUGUAAGACUUGUCUGUCAUUUCAACAGUAAAACACUGUAGGAUCCAUAGGAUAAUACCGUAAAUGUGUUGUUUUUCUUAAAUGUAUAUUUCAGGUAGAAUUUCACUGUAAAUUUGCAGCAAUAUCCUGACACCAGAGUUUGCAUCUUAAUACUGUAAUUUGGCUUUACAGUACCAUUUUCCUUACUGUAAAACAUUACAGCAUCCAUUUACAUUUACUGCAAGUAUGCUGUAAUAUGUCUUUACAGUAAAGGAAAAUAGUACUGUAAAACAUAUUACAGCAUCUCUGCUAAUGUAUGAUUUUGCUCAUAAAUUAGUUGUGAAGCAUAUAUGUAUUGUUAAAACUUUAUGAAUACUGUAUAACAGUGUUUUCCCAAAAUGAUUCUCUCCAAGAAUACCCCCAGAGACUUUUUAGGCUCCUAUACUACCAGCACACCUGAUUCAACUAGGCCUAAUCAAGGGCUGGAUAAUGAGUUGAGCAGUUAGUUAAUUAAUUAGUAACUAGUAAAUUAGUUAAUUAGUUGACUAACCUUGAACGGUAAGACAAAUCUGCUUGCUUAUUGAACCACUCGGGUAAACAUUGAAGGAACAAAUAUAGCAGGCUUCGUCUGCCCAUGUUACAUUCUUCACGGUAAUAGACGUUGAGUUGAGAGAUGCUUCCGUGAAAACCACCUUGCCUCGGUGCGGGUCUAUGAUUUGAGCUCCAAACCGCUUGCUGUAGGUGGCCAGAUUCUCCACGGAGUCGUCUUUGAACAGCCUCUGCCAGGUGACUUGCAGCACACCUGUCGGGUCCGCAUGGGUGCAGGUAUAUGAUGCGUCGGCAUUGAAGUCAACACUGGUGUCUCCUCUAGCUACGACGUUGACAGAGACGGCUAGAAAUGGAAGAAGGAAUGUUAACAGGGCUCUCUCAUCUGGUGAGAACACAGCAGGUUGUCACAGCAACCCUGGGAGAA
Molecule: long non-coding RNA, 1194 nt
Filed under: Oncorhynchus kisutch (coho salmon)
Lineage: Eukaryota; Metazoa; Chordata; Actinopteri; Salmoniformes; Salmonidae
Description: lncRNA (ENSOKIG00005027689.1)
Source: RNAcentral